Papio anubis (olive baboon) is the source of this 98-nucleotide small nuclear RNA. NCBI's taxonomy places the organism in Eukaryota, Metazoa, Chordata, Mammalia, Primates, Cercopithecidae. The record is from Ensembl.
GUGCUCACUUUGGCAGCACUAAAAUUGGAACUAUACAGAGAUUAGCAUGGCCCCUGUGCAAAGAUGACAUGCAAAUUUGUGAAGAGUUCCAUAUUUUA